CUGGGGACGUCUAAAGGAACUGCCUACGCAAGUAAGUGAGGAAGGCGGGGAGUGACGUCAAAUCAGCACGGCCCUUACGUCCAGGGCUACACACGUGCUACAAUGGCCGAUACAGAGGGCAGCUACCUGGUGACAGGAUGCAAAUCUCCAAAGUCGGUCUCAGUUCGGAUCGGAGUCUGCAACCCGACUCCGUGAAGUUGGAUUCGCUAGUAAUCGCGCAUCAGCCAUGGCGCGGUGAAUACGUUCCCGGGCCUU
Molecule: ribosomal RNA, 255 nt
Filed under: uncultured Sphingobacteriales bacterium
Lineage: Bacteria; Pseudomonadati; Bacteroidota; Sphingobacteriia; Sphingobacteriales
Description: partial 16S ribosomal RNA
Rfam family: Bacterial small subunit ribosomal RNA
Source: RNAcentral